This 1566-nucleotide ribosomal RNA is filed under the name metagenome. RNAcentral's name for it is "bacterial LSU rRNA". It matches the Rfam family "Bacterial large subunit ribosomal RNA", at positions 1358 to 2925 of the family's 2925-position model. The record is from RNAcentral.
UGGAAGGCUCGUCCGCUCAGGGUUAGUCGGGACCUAAGCCGAGGCCGAAAGGCGUAGGCGAUGGACAACAGGUUGAUAUUCCUGUACCACCUCCUCACCAUUUGAGCAAUGGGGGGACGCAGGAGGAUAGGGUAAGCGCGGUAUUGGAUAUCCGCGUCCAAGCAGUUAGGCUGGGAAAUAGGCAAAUCCGUUUCCCAUAAGGCUGAGCUGUGAUGGCGAGCGAAAUAUAGUAGCGAAGUUCCUGAUUCCACACUGCCAAGAAAAGCCUCUAGCGAGGUGAGAGGUGCCCGUACCGCAAACCGACACAGGUAGGCGAGGAGAGAAUCCUAAGGUGAUCGAGAGAACUCUCGUUAAGGAACUCGGCAAAAUGACCCCGUAACUUCGGGAGAAGGGGUGCUCUGUUAGGGUGCAAGCCCGAGAGAGCCGCAGUGAAUAGGCCCAGGCGACUGUUUAGCAAAAACACAGGUCUCUGCGAAGCCGUAAGGCGAAGUAUAGGGGCUGGCGCCUGCCCGGUGCUGGAAGGUUAAGAGGAGCGCUUAGCGUAAGCGAAGGUGCGAAUUGAAGCCCCAGUAAACGGCGGCCGUAACGAUAACGGUCCUAAGGUAGCGAAAUUCCUUGUCGGGUAAGUUCCGACCCGCACGAAAGGCGCAACGAUCUGGGCACUGUCUCAACGAGAGACUCGGUGAAAUUAUAGUACCUGUGAAGAUGCAGGUUACCCGCGACAGGACGGAAAGACCCCGUGGAGCUUUACUGCAGCCUGAUAUUGAAUGUUGGUACAGCUUGUACAGGAUAGGUAGGAGCCUUGGAAACCGGAGCGCCAGCUUCGGUGGAGGCAUCGGUGGGAUACUACCCUGGCUGUAUUGACCUUCUAACCCGCCGCCCUUAUCGGGCGGGGAGACAGUGUCAGGUGGGCAGUUUGACUGGGGCGGUUGCCUCCUAAAAGGUAACGGAGGCGCCCAAAGGUUCCCUCAGAAUGGUUGGAAAUCAUUCGCAGAGUGUAAAGGCACAAGGGAGCUUGACUGCGAGACCUACAAGUCGAGCAGGGACGAUAGUCGGGCUUAGUGAUCCGGUGGUUCCGCAUGGAAGGGCCAUCGCUCAACGGAUAAAAGCUACCCCGGGGAUAACAGGCUUAUCUCCCCCAAGAGUCCACAUCGACGGGGAGGUUUGGCACCUCGAUGUCGGCUCAUCGCAUCCUGGGGCUGUAGUCGGUCCCAAGGGUUGGGCUGUUCGCCCAUUAAAGCGGUACGCGAGCUGGGUUCAGAACGUCGUGAGACAGUUCGGUCCCUAUCCGUCGCGGGCGCAGGAAAUUUGAGAGGAGCUGUCCUUAGUACGAGAGGACCGGGAUGGACGCACCGCUGGUGUACCAGUUGUUCUGCCAAGGGCAUCGCUGGGUAGCUAUGUGCGGACGGGAUAAGUGCUGAAAGCAUCUAAGCAUGAAGCCCCCCUCAAGAUGAGAUUUCCCAUUCCGCAAGGAAGUAAGAUCCCUGAAAGAUGAUCAGGUUGAUAGGUCUGAGGUGGAAGUGUGGCGACACAUGGAGCUGACAGAUACUAAUCGAUCGAGGACUU